UUUCACAUACGACGACAAUAGUGUACGUGGAGUUUAAUGGUCAAAACUAAAAGUGAGUGAUAGUCCCACAGCCUAACUACGCUCCAACAAAAUUAAAACUUGGUACAUACCAUCACCUAACCCCAAUUCUUUCAUCUUCCUCUCUUCAUUCCUUUUACUUAUCAAACUAUAAUUUUCCCAGUAACUUCUUCAGAAAUAUUACCUUGAUUAGUUAUUAGAAAAUAAAAAAAAUCGAGGAAAGAAAACCAGACGGACAACCUGAAUCAUCCUUUUCCGAAAAAAAUAAAAUAAUAACCCGGGUCAUCGGUCGGUCCUAUGUUUGUAACUCUCUCAAUAUGAAAUAUGAAUAGUCAAAUAAUAAAAGAGAAAACUUGGGUGUAAAAAUAGAUUUGGUAGAGAUUUGAAGGUCGCUUUCUGUUUUCUGACUCUCAUGAAAGACAAUGACCCUUCUAUUCAUAUUCAUAUUCAUUCAUUAAUUCUCUCCUUCUUCAUUCUUCUCCUUAUAAAUCUCACUGCCUCUUCUUUCUUUCUCUGAGCCUCUCUUACUUAAAUCAAGUACGGAAGUACAUCUAAAUCGUCGUCGUACACAACAUGUCUCAGCUCGACACUCUAUCUGCUGCUCGAUUAGCUUCCCUUCUCUAGUUCUUUUUUAAAUUCUUAAAUUGUGAUUACUGCUUAUAAUUAUAUUUUUCCCUUUAUUUAAGGGUUUGUUUACUUAUUUGAUUUGAUGGGUUCUUGUCUAAAAUCCAAAAAAAUAAAUAUUUUUUUUUUUAAAUUUUUAGGAAAAAUUAAGAGUGCACAUUUUGGUGGUGGGGUUGUUGUAAAUAUUUUCUCAGGUGGAGUGUGGAUUUAGUGAAUGAUUGUGUAGUCUUAUCAAUGUUGUCUCUGAACAAAAACAUUUUUUUCUACAGUUUUUUUUUUAAAAAAAAAGAAUUAUUAUUAUUAAUUUGAGAAUAAAAUUAUAUUUAGAGUGUACUUUGAUGGUCAGGGUGAGAUCAUAUCAAUAGUCAGUAUUCUGCCUUAAAUAGAUUUACAUGAUUCCCCAUUUUAGAUUCUUUUUUCAUCAAUCUAAGCUUUUUUGUCUUUCUCUCUCUAACAUAUUCUCUCUCUAAAUUCAGGGUGUUUUUUCAUGUCUACUCUAUAAUUUUAGAUUCACUAAUUGCAUGGUUUUGAAUGAUUAUUUUAAAUAAAUUUGACUAAUUUUAAAAAAAUCAGUUUGCUUUUGUGAUUUAUGCUCCCUAUGUUAAUUUUUUGUAACUUGAUCUGUCCCCUCUUUUUUUUUACUUGUUCUUCUCCCUAGCAUUAUGGGUUUAUUAUAAUUUAUUUUUAUUUAUGUGUUUUUAAUUUGUAAUUUUUUCAUAUUAAUUAACAGUAAUAAGUUUUUUUUAUUACAGUUGAUAAAGCUUUACAUUAGGGUUAGGGUUUGUUUAAGAAAUUGCUAUGUUCAGUAAGGGUGAUUGUUAGUGGUGGGUUUUUUUGUUUGUUUGUUUGCUUGUUUGUUUAUUAUGGUAUGUUAAUUAGUUUAAUUAUGCUGAUUAGUUUCUUAUGAAAUUUUUCAUUUUUUUUGUUUCUUACAAUUAGAAAUAUGUUAAUGCAAUUUUAUCAUUUCUUCUAAUUAAUUUUGUUUCUAACUAAUUAUACUCAUGCUAAUUGCUAAUCACUAUUGUUUUUUUUUUUUUUUGUUGAAUUUAGUUUCUUUAACCUUGACUGAGUCUUUACUCUCUUGAAUUAAUUACUUUAUGUUUUAGAGGAACCUUUCUUUAUUUAUUUAUUUUUUUUCUAUGCAAUCGACACGACAUGACACGAAUGUCUUUGUGUAAUUUAAUUAUUUUGAUUGAAUGGAAGCUUAUAUAUAUCAUUUAUUUAAUUCAAAUGAACACCUUAGUUUACAACAAUUGAUUUGUUUGAAUGAAACUGAAAAUAUUUCUGUUCAAAUCACAUGAAUUUCAUUGUUCGUUGUUGAUUAUAUUUAUGCAUUCACUUUAAUAUCAAUAUUCCUGUUCACUUCACAAGUUAACAUGAAUUCCUAAGCUCUCAUAUCUUCAAAUGAAUCGAUGUUCGAAGAAAGUCGAAAAUCAUUUGUUUGUCUAAUACAAGAAUGUAGUAGUUAUGUUGUAAUUGCAUGUGUUAGAAUUUACAUUUGGAAAUGUUAGAAUGAAGAAGUAGUGUAAGAGAGCUUCCUUCAGCCCACUCAUGGAUGGAAAAAAGGGGUAUUGAAUUAUCUGCCGACUCAUUCAUUCAAACACUUAGUAGAACGAAAGAUUAUCGAAAUGGUUACGGUACUACUGUGAUUGCAUGAAUGAUGCGGGAGAUAGUUUCAUCCUUCUCUAUCUUUGCUUGGACUGAAGGGAGCUCCCUUUUUCUAUUCCCUUCUUUUUUUGCAUCAUUUGAUUCGACUCGAGUUAGUCUAUGAAGAUGAUUUUGGCUUGAUUGCAUAUAUAUGUUCAUGAUUAAAUUGCUAUUGUAUAAUUCUAAUGUUAUUCCAUGGUUUAGUUGUGGUAUUAAUUGUUUAGAAUUUCCUUUCUAUCCCUUAUUUUUCUCAUUGUUUUGAUCAUGACAUUGACCUGGUUUCUCUAUAUAAUCAUUUUGGUGUAUGAAACGCGGCACACUUGUAAGCCGGAUGGUCUAAUCAUGGAUGAUGGAGCUGAUCAGCAAGCUUAUUGCUUCAGAGUACACCAGUUGAGGCGCAAAUCGAUGUCUGCGAAAUCCUGAAAAUUCUUCCAUAGAUCCCACAACAAUGGUAAAUGGUCUUUCAACGGAGUAAUGGAGUAUAUAUGUAAAAAUCAUAUCCCUUGGUUACUAGAGUGUGGAUUUUGAACUGAAAUGCUGAAGUCCCGAGCAUUUUGUUGGUCCAGAUACCAGAAUGCAUCCAUGGUUCUGCAUGCUGGGAAUAUUAUGCCGAGAUUCAAUCAGCGGGAGCUAUCUAAUACAACUUACCCCUCAAGAGAUGGUAUAUAUAAGGCGACUAAUGCCAGCUCUUAUGAGUUGGGUGGCCUCACUUGUGUCGCUCAAUUGUUGGCAUGCCCAUAUGAUACCUUCAUUAUCUUCACAAAUACUUGGCGCAUAUUAGUGAAUGUGGAUGUCAAUUUGCUUAGUUGAUUAAGUCUUGGGGUGUUAUUAGAUUGAAUUCAUUUUACAUCAUUGCAAGGCUCACAUCCUAAUCAUUAAUUAGUUUUGCUAUAAAGAUUAAUUAUACUGAUUAUAUCUUGCUGCAUUUAUAUAUUUGAAGACGGAACAAAUUUAGAGUUUGAUUUACUUACAAGUCCAAAGGAGGUUUCAUAUUAAAUACUUGUAUAAUUGGUAUGGUAAUAGUUGAGUAGCUUAUUUAAUAUAUGAGGUGGUAUAUUUCAUUUCCUUUAACUAAUUAAUGUGAGAUAACUCGCAUGUAGAUAACAAUGAAGUUUCAACAACCAUUCAACCAUCGAUCUAAUACAAGUAUAUGAUAAACCUAAAACAUACUUUGUAUUUCCUUCGUUUAAUUUUAGUUUUAAUUUUUACGCUAUUCACAAAUUAUGGUUUGAUUAUAUGACAUAUAUAGAGUAAAAAAAAUGUACUCUAAUAAUUUUGAGGGAUAUUGUUGAUUUCAUCUUUUCAACAUAUCAGCUUUUAUUUUUUACUUUGUAAAUAACUUUCACAUAGUAAUUAUGAUUGAAGUUAUGUAUUAGCAAGCAUGAAAAAUAUAAACGUUACACUAAAUAUAAAAAAUAUUCAUAUGCUCCAUUUGUUUUAAAAAAAUUCACAUAACCUCUUUAAUUUGGAAAAAUAAUACUUUAAUUCCAAUUAUGGGCGAUUUACUUCUAAUAAUCUCAACUAAUGUUUAUUUUUUUAAUAAUCCCAACUAUGCUAUGCGUUUGCCUCCAACGGUCCCAACCGGUCAACAUUAAGUCAACAAUCUGUUAUAACCAGUGAUCAUGAUACGUGUAAACACAUGAUUGGUCUAAAAUUUUUAAAAAAUUAAAAAAAAAAAAAAAAAAACCAUAAAAAAAAAAAAAAAAAAAAAAUUUCCCCAGACACCCUCUCCUCACCCCCUAACCUUGUCUAAAACCCUAACUUCACCCCCUAACCUUGCCGAAAACCGACCGACCACCCUCCCUUAACCACCGAAAAUGGCCGGCCCUCUACCAACCAUCCGACCCACCCCGACCCCCAAACCUCAUGAGUUUGUGCUUUGCUCUAUUUUUGGGCUGCUUUGGUGGUCGAAAUUUGCGUAGCUGCUGUUGUAAAUUGGUAAUGUGGCUGAGAUGCGGAGGCUGAGGUAUUUGGUGGUCAGUGCGCUGCUGGGCGCUAGAUCUAUUAUUGUUGUUGUUUGCAAGUGGUAGCAAGGGUUGUAGAGGAGCUACGGUGGCGGCUAGGGGCUGGAGUUGUUGUGGUUUCCAUGAGUCGAGGUGGGUCGGGUUGGUGGUUUUUGGGGUCAGGGUGGGCUGGGUGGGUGGUUUCGGGGGUCGGGAGUGGGUCUGUUGGGAUAGUAAAGGGCUGGCCUGCCGGUUUUGGUGGUUAAGGAGGGUGGCCGGAAAGGGUUUGGCAGUGGAGGAAAGGUGGCUGGGGAAUUUUUUAUUUUAUUUUAUUUUUUAAAUUUUAGACCAAUCAUGUGUUGAUAUGUGGCUAAUAAAAUCGAAAAAAAAAAAAAAAAAACUCUUUCAACAAGUUACCGGUCAUUAGGACCAUUGAAUGCAAUCACACAACAUAGUUGGAAUUAUUAGAAGUAAAUCGCUCAUAAUUGAGAUUAUUAAUGUGUAUUUUUCUCUUUAAUUUUGAUACGUUAGCCAUUGUGUUAUGGAGGUACUCGUAAUAUGCAAAAUUCACAAUACCCUCUUUUGUUUUUGGAAAAUGUGUCACUAGGUUUUUGUUGAAUGAUCUAAAAAUUAGUACUAGUAUUACAUACGACAAUCUCUUCUUUUUCCUCGUGCAUUUCACCAAUUGUACUAGUAAUGCUUAAAAAAAAGAAAGAAAGAAAAUCAAUCAUAGUGAUUAGACUCCAUUUAGAAUUUUCCUAUGAAGGCCAUUGGAGCAAUAUAAAUGAAAAUAAUUAAGGAGUGUGACAUGAAAUUGAAUAGUUACAAAAAUUAGACAUUUAGACAAGUCAAAAGAUGUAAGAGUAACAUUAUGUUAGCGUGUCUCCCUCGCCCAAUUGUUGGAAUAGG
Molecule: long non-coding RNA, 5141 nt
Organism: Chenopodium quinoa (quinoa)
Lineage: Eukaryota; Viridiplantae; Streptophyta; Magnoliopsida; Caryophyllales; Amaranthaceae
Exons: 4
Source: RefSeq, a predicted model, not a curated record